AUUGAACGCUGGCGGCAUGCUUUACACAUGCAAGUCGAACGGCAGCGGGGAGGAGCUUGCUUCUCUGCCGGCGAGUGGCGAACGGGUGAGUAAUACAUCGGAACGUGUCGAGAAGAGGGGGAUAACCACCCGAAGGGGUGGCUAAUACCGCAUAAAUUCUGAGGAAGAAAGCUGGGGACCUAGGAAUAGGCCUAGCGCUUUUUGAGCGGCCGAUGUCGGAUUAGCUAGUUGGUGAGGUAAAGGCUCACCAAGGCGAAGAUCUGUAGCGGGUCUGAGAGGAUGAUCCGCCACACUGGGACUGAGACACGGCCCAGACUCCUACGGGAGGCAGCAGUGGGGAAUUUUGGACAAUGGGGGCGACCCUGAUCCAGCCAUGCCGCGUGUAUGAAGAAGGCCUUAGGGUUGUAAAGUACUUUUGUUAGGGAAGAAAAGUCAGCUGUGAAUAAUGGCUGAUACUGACGGUACCUAAAGAAUAAGCACCGGCUAACUACGUG
Molecule: ribosomal RNA, 494 nt
Filed under: uncultured bacterium
Lineage: Bacteria
Description: partial 16S ribosomal RNA
Rfam family: Bacterial small subunit ribosomal RNA
Source: RNAcentral